UACGCCAAAUAUCAAUGACAAGUGCAGUAAUCGAUUGUAAGGUGCGUUCCACCACAACAUUAUCUUUAAAUAAUUAUUACUAAGUCACUCAAUUCGUUUCCAAUGUCUUACAACUUUCAAGAAAGAAAUUCAGAUGUUCAAAGGCGAUCGAAUACUGCCCUUAGUUCUGAUCGUAAACGAUAACUGGCGUUCUGUUAGCGGUAAAUACGCCUUGAUAUGCACGUUCCCGGAAACGAUGGUUCUUUAGUUCUGGGAGAAUUAUGGUUGCAAACUUACAGCAAUUGAGGGAAGAGUAACACAAGGAGUGGAGCCUGCCGCUUAAUUUUACUCAACACGGGAUAACUCACUUGCCCGAACACGUGAGGAUUGACAUAUUGAAAGCUCUUUCAUGAUUCGGUGGUUGGUGGUGCAUGGCCGUUCUUAGAUGUAGAUUGAUUUGUCUGCUUUAUUCUGAUAACGAACGAAACUGUAGCCAACAAAGCACUUUGUGAAGGAACAGUGUAUUCGUACGCUAGUCCAGACAACUUCUUAGAGGGACAAGCGGUGUUUAGCCGCAUGAAGUUGAGCAAUAACAGGUCUGUGAUGCCCUUAGAUGUCCACGGCUGCACACGCGCUACACUGAAGGAAACAGCGCACUGUAACCAUUGCUGAAAGGUUAUGGUAACCCCUUGAAAAUCCUCUGUAAAUCGGGAUCGGGAAUUGCACUUAUUUCUUUGAACAUCAAUUCCUAGUAAGUGAGAGUCGUGAUUACGCCUGGAACUGACUGGUUUCAAAAAAGCGGGAACUGCUGUUUCAAUACCUUCAAAUUUCGUAGAAAGGAGAUUCUUUGGUGGAUCAGUC
RNAcentral lists this non-coding RNA (840 nucleotides) under Thelazia callipaeda (thelaziosis nematode). Its description in RNAcentral is "Eukaryotic small subunit ribosomal RNA". It matches the Rfam family "Eukaryotic small subunit ribosomal RNA", at positions 693 to 1651 of the family's 1831-position model. Lineage: Eukaryota; Metazoa; Nematoda; Chromadorea; Rhabditida; Thelaziidae. The record is from Rfam by way of RNAcentral.